Molecule: transfer RNA, 74 nt
Filed under: Bacteroidota bacterium
Lineage: Bacteria; Pseudomonadati; Bacteroidota
Also listed under: 5 other names
Description: Bacteroidetes bacterium (activated sludge metagenome) tRNA-Pro
Rfam family: tRNA
About the family: Transfer RNA (tRNA) molecules are approximately 80 nucleotides in length. Their secondary structure includes four short double-helical elements and three loops (D, anti-codon, and T loops).
Source: RNAcentral
CGGGGUGUAGCGUAGCCCGGUAUCGCGCCACGUUUGGGACGUGGAGGCCGUCAGUUCGAAUCUGGCCACCCCGA